GAUGAACGCUGGCGGCGUGCCUAAUACAUGCAAGUCGAGCGAACGGACGAGAAGCUUGCUUCUCUGAUGUUAGCGGCGGACGGGUGAGUAACACGUGGAUAACCUACCUAUAAGACUGGGAUAACUUCGGGAAACCGGAGCUAAUACCGGAUAAUAUUUUGAACCGCAUGGUUCAAAAGUGAAAGACGGUCUUGCUGUCACUUAUAGAUGGAUCCGCGCUGCAUUAGCUAGUUGGUAAGGUAACGGCUUACCAAGGCAACGAUGCAUAGCCGACCUGAGAGGGUGAUGGGCGACACUGGAGCGAGGACACGGAACGGAGGACUAAGGGAGGCAGAAGUGGGGAAUCUUCGGCCAUGGGCGAAUGCCUGACAGAACAAAGACACGGGAGUGAUGAAGUUCUUCGGAUCGGAAAACUAUGUUAUUAGGGAAAAACAUAUAUGUAAGUAAAUGUGCACAUCUUGACGGUACCUAAUCAGAAAGCCACGGCUAACUACGUG
Molecule: ribosomal RNA, 497 nt
Filed under: uncultured bacterium
Lineage: Bacteria
Description: partial 16S ribosomal RNA
Rfam family: Bacterial small subunit ribosomal RNA
Source: RNAcentral